This 497-nucleotide ribosomal RNA is filed under the name uncultured bacterium. RNAcentral's name for it is "partial 16S ribosomal RNA". It matches the Rfam family "Bacterial small subunit ribosomal RNA", at positions 28 to 507 of the family's 1533-position model. The record is from RNAcentral.
GAUGAACGCUGGCGGCGUGCCUAAUACAUGCAAGUCGAGCGAACAGAUGAGGAGCUUGCUCCUCUUACGUUAGCGGCGGACGGGUGAGUAACACGUGUAUAACCUACCUAUAAGACUGGGAUAACUUCGGGAAACCGGAGCUAAUACCGGAUAAUAUAUUGAACCUCAUGGUUCAAUAGUGAAAAACGGUUUUGCUGUCACUUAUAGAUGGAUCCGCGCCGCAUUAGCUAGUUGGUAAGGUAACGGCUUACCAAGGCAACGAUGCGUAGCCGACCUGAGAGGGUGAUCGGCCACACUGGAACUGAGACACGGUCCAGACUCCUACGGGAGGCAGCAGUAGGGAAUCUUCCGCAAUGGGCGAAAGCCUGACGGAGCAACGCCGCGUGAGUGAUGAAGGUCUUCGGAUCGUAAAACUCUGUUAUUAGGGAAGAACAAAUGUGUAAGUAACUAUGCACGUCUUGACGGUACCUAAUCAGAAAGCCACGGCUAACUACGUG